ACAUUUCUUUGCAUGUUCAGGUACCCCUUGGCUCUAUCACGUCAAUAAUUGAUGGCUUGAAGAAGCUAUACAUUGAAAAGUUGAAGCCCCUGGAAGUUACCUAUCGAUUUAACGAUUUUGUUUCUCCUUUAUUGACAAGCAGUGAUUUGGAUACUAGGCCAAUGGUUAUGCUCAUGGGCUAGUACUCCACUAGGAAAACAACAUUCAUUAAACAUUUGCUAAACUGCAGUUAUCCAGGAGCGCACAUCGGACCGGAACCUACGACUGACAGAUUUGUUGUUAUUAUGGUAUGCAUCCAAAUCCCAAAGCUAAUUAUAAAAUUUUGAAUUGCUCUGGCACCUUUAAAAAAAGG
Magnolia sinica is the source of this 352-nucleotide long non-coding RNA. RefSeq lists it as uncharacterized. NCBI's taxonomy places the organism in Eukaryota, Viridiplantae, Streptophyta, Magnoliopsida, Magnoliales, Magnoliaceae. The transcript is spliced from 3 exons. The record is from RefSeq and is a predicted model, not a curated record.